Molecule: ribosomal RNA, 497 nt
Filed under: uncultured bacterium
Lineage: Bacteria
Description: partial 16S ribosomal RNA
Rfam family: Bacterial small subunit ribosomal RNA
Source: RNAcentral
GACGAACGCUGGCGGCGUGCCUAAUACAUGCAAGUAGAACGCUGAAGAGAGGAGCUUACUCUUCUUGGAUGAGUUGCGAACGGGUGAGUAACGCGUAGGUAACCUGCCUUGUAGCGGGGGAUAACUAUUGGAAACGAUAGCUAAUACCGCAUAACAAUGGAUGACACAUGUCAUUUAUUUGAAAGGGGCAAUUGCUCCACUACAAGAUGGACCUGCGUUGUAUUAGCUAGUAGGUGAGGUAAUGGCUCACCUAGGCGACGAUACAUAGCCGACCUGAGAGGGUGAUCGGCGACACUGGGACUGAGACACGGCCCAGGCUCCUACGGGAGGCAGCAGUAGGGAAUCUUCGGCAAUGGUGGCAACCCUGACCGAGCAACGCCGCGUGAGUGAAGAAGGUUUUCGGAUCGUAAAGCUCUGUUGUAAGUCAAGAACGGGUGUGGGAGUGGAAAGUUCACACUGUGACGGUAGCUGACCAGAAAGGGACGGCUAACUACGUG